GCAGCCGGGGUGUUAGCGGUACCUUGUACCUGCAAUCCGCUAUAGCAGGGGUGAUGCUGCGCAGAGGGCAUGUUUUGCAGAGCUGCCCUUGACAAGCGGCACUGAAGUCUGGGUCUUACGCGACGGAAAUCUGUGAACCGUGUCAGGUCGGGAACGAAGCAGCACUAAGCGGAACCUUCCGGGUGCCGUAAGGGCGCCUGGACCGAGCUGGCUGUCAAGGUAACGUCUGUGAGCCUUGUUCG
Molecule: signal recognition particle RNA, 242 nt
Filed under: uncultured Massilistercora sp.
Lineage: Bacteria; Bacillati; Bacillota; Clostridia; Eubacteriales
Description: Bacterial large signal recognition particle RNA
Rfam family: Bacterial large signal recognition particle RNA
About the family: The signal recognition particle (SRP) is a universally conserved ribonucleoprotein involved in the co-translational targeting of proteins to membranes. Archaeal SRP consists of a 7S RNA and homologues of the eukaryotic SRP19 and SRP54 proteins.
Source: RNAcentral